RNAcentral lists this ribosomal RNA (253 nucleotides) under uncultured bacterium. Its description in RNAcentral is "partial 16S ribosomal RNA". It matches the Rfam family "Bacterial small subunit ribosomal RNA", at positions 524 to 776 of the family's 1533-position model. The record is from RNAcentral.
UACAGAGGUCUCAAGCGUUGUUCGGAAUCACUGGGCGUCAAGGGUGCGUAGGUGGCGUGGCAAGUCAGAUGUGAAAGCCCGGGGCUCAACCUCGGAAUUGCAUCCGAUACUGCCAUGCUGGAGUACUGAAGAGGUGACUAGAAUUCUCGGUGUAGCAGUGAAAUGCGUAGAUAUCGAGAGGAAUACCAAAGGCGAAGGCAGGUCACUGGGCAGUUACUGACACUGAGGCACGAAGGCCAGGGGAGCAAACGGG